This 1095-nucleotide long non-coding RNA is filed under the name Anser brachyrhynchus (Pink-footed goose). RNAcentral describes it as "lncRNA (ENSABRG00000005114.1)". Lineage: Eukaryota; Metazoa; Chordata; Aves; Anseriformes; Anatidae. The record is from RNAcentral.
GGCCGGGCCGGGCCGGGCGGGCUGAGGCGAGGCCGGGUCCCGGCGGGCCCGGCGCCCCCCCGGUGCAGCCCCCACCCCGCAGCCCGCCCGCCGACCCCCCAAACCUCGCUGCCACCACCACGCCGGCUCCCCCGGCCUGAGCAGACACAGGCCUCCACAACCCAGGCGAGACAAACAAAAAAAAACCACACCCAAAUUCACCCCAAAACCCAACACCCCCCCCCCCCCCCCCCCCCCCCCCAGCGAGGGGGCUGCCCCCGGGACCCCUCCCCAGCGCCACCGCCUCCAGCGGCCCCUCAGCGGCGCCGGCAGCGGCCCCGGCCCGCCGGUAAGGGCGGGCGCGGCUCCCCCGUCCCCACACGCGGCCACAGCCCCACGGCGGCGACUUACGGCGCGGUCCCGGCCGCAAGAUGUCUGCCGGCGGCCGCCCCGCUCCCGCUGCCUGCGCUGCGCCCGCGGGGCCAACGGGAACGGCUGGGCGGGCUCCCACAGUGCCCCGCGCCGCGUCCCUCCCCUCCCCUCAGCCCCUUCCCUCAGCCCCUCCCCGCCUCCUCCGCCCCUCACGGGGACGCCCCCGGUCUCCUCAGUUCCCCCCCGGUCCCCUCACGGUCUCCUCACCGUCCACGGUCCCCUCUGCGCCGCCACCUCCGUCCCCUCCGCCGCCCACCCUUGUCUGAGCGGUGCCCGCCGGGCUGUGGAGGCGGCUCUCCCCGGUUCCCCUCAGUUCGCCUCAGUUCGCCUCAGUUCCCCUCAGUUCCCCUCAGUUCCCCUCAGUUCUCCUCAGUUCUCCUCAGUUCCCCUCCGUUCCCUGCCGCCCGGCCCCUGUGUGGACAUAAGGCCUCGGCCAUUGUGUACAAAAUGUGCCCGCUCCUAAAGGAGGGAAGGCAGGGGAGGAGACGGGUGGGGAGGACAGAGCGCGGGCUCGGUGCCGCAUCCUUCCCCGAGCGAAGUUCCUUGUUCGGGGAGAGAGGAGGCACUGAGUCGUUGCGAGAAAUGCUUUCUUCUACUGUACAAAAGUGGCUGGCUGCCAUUUUGCGAAGGCCCCAGAUGGAGCUUUUGGAGGAAUUCCUGCUGUGGUGGCACAGAUGUCCUUGA